RNAcentral lists this ribosomal RNA (497 nucleotides) under uncultured bacterium. Its description in RNAcentral is "partial 16S ribosomal RNA". It matches the Rfam family "Bacterial small subunit ribosomal RNA", at positions 28 to 507 of the family's 1533-position model. The record is from RNAcentral.
GACGAACGCUGGCGGCGUGCCUAAUACAUGCAAGUAGAACGCUGAAGAGAGGAGUUUACUCUUCUUGGAUGAGUUGCGAACGGGUGAGUAACGCGUAGGUAACCUGCCUUGUAGCGGGGGAUAACUAUUGGAAACGAUAGCUAAUACCGCAUAACAAUGGAUGACACAUGUCAUUUAUUUGAAAGGGGCAAUUGCUCCACUACAAGAUGGACCUGCGUUGUAUUAGCUAGUAGGUGAGGUAAUGGCUCACCUAGGCGACGAUACAUAGCCGACCUGAGAGGGUGAUCGGCCACACUGGGACUGAGACACGGCCCAGACUCCUACGGGAGGCAGCAGUAGGGAAUCUUCGGCAAUGGGGGCAACCCUGACCGAGCAACGCCGCGUGAGUGAAGAAGGUUUUCGGAUCGUAAAGCUCUGUUGUAAGUCAAGAACGGGUGUGAGAGUGGAAAGUUCACACUGUGACGGUAGCUUACCAGAAAGGGACGGCUAACUACGUG